GCUCUCCCUGCCCCCUGCCCUGGUGCUGAGAUCCUCAGGCCCCAAGAGGGAGGUGGGUCACCAGCGGCCACAAAAAGUCAUGGCAGGAGGCUGAUCCUGAAGCAUGGCCAGUAAGUCCGAGUCCAGGUGUGGCAGGGGCUUUGUGACACUCUUUUUUUCUGUUUGUCCUGGAUACUGGACACUGCCUGGAGGAAUGAGACCUGGGAGCAGGAAGCAAAGGAUGAGCUCCGAGAGAGGGAAGAGAGCUGCCUCCAGACACAGCGGCCCUCUAUGUUCUUCAGGCGUCAGCAAUGGAAGAUCUCAGAUGACUUGUUUUCCAGAUGAAAACAUCUGUACAACACCUGCAGGACACUGGAGACCAGCAGCUGCUAGGACAGAGGCUUCUUAGGACUGACUUGCCUGAAGGACCAACACUGCCCAGCAUCCGCCCCGUGUGUUUGGAAAGGAGCUAGUGGGACUCUGUCGCCACCUGCUAGCUCAGAGUGGAACUGCAACCCAGCUGUCUAAGGCACUGCAAACUGUUCCCAGUAAAGAACAGUUGGGGUGAGGGGAGCUGUGGAAAAUUCUGUAGAAAUAAACGUUUUUAUUCCUAACACAGUA
Long non-coding RNA from Rattus rattus (black rat), 600 nucleotides. RefSeq lists it as uncharacterized. The record is from RefSeq and is a predicted model, not a curated record. The transcript is spliced from 2 exons. NCBI's taxonomy places the organism in Eukaryota, Metazoa, Chordata, Mammalia, Rodentia, Muridae.